AAAAUCUCCAGGCAUAGGCAUUAGGCGGGAUCAGCCAUAUGUGUGAUUUUCCUUCAGUUAUGUCCACUGAAAUCACGUCAACAGCAAGCAGGAGCUGGCUAUUGCUUCAGAUGAGGUUUUAAGUUUGGAGUAGCUACCGAAACGCGCUGUGAUUCUUGGUGGCGGUAGAUCCUAGGUAUAUCACGCAGUACCAUGUAUGUCGAGGAGCUGGCUAUUACUUCAGAUGAGGCUUUAAGUUUGGAGGAGCUACCGAAAUGUGUUGUGAUUCUUGGUGGCGGUAGUACCCUGUAUGUCCAGGGUCUCCUGGCUUCCCUCCAAGCCCCACAUAUGCUCCUCCUGGUGUUUUCUCACAUCAAGGACCAGUGUUGAUUCAUUUGAUUGUUGACCCAGUGACCAUGGCCAGACCACCUGUUCCACCUACAUCGCCAAGAUUGCGGCAACAGUGAACAAUGAUUUUGUUCUUUAUCUU
Lolium perenne is the source of this 469-nucleotide long non-coding RNA. RefSeq lists it as uncharacterized. The record is from RefSeq and is a predicted model, not a curated record. NCBI's taxonomy places the organism in Eukaryota, Viridiplantae, Streptophyta, Magnoliopsida, Poales, Poaceae.